UGGCAUAUGGAGGUUCCCUGGCUAGGGAUCAAAUCAGAGCUACAACUGCCGGCCUACACCAGAGCCACAGCAACACGGGAUCCAAACCAUGUCUGAGACUUGCACCACAGCUCAUGGCAACGCCAGAUCCUUAACCCACUGAGCAAGGCCAGGGAUCAAACCCACAAACUCAUGGUCCCUAGUUGGAUUCAUUUCCACUGCAUCAUGACAGGAACUCCACUUUAUUUUUAUUUUUUUUCAACUGAAAGCAUGAAACAAUGCUCCUAGUAUUUCACUGUCACAUUCUCAGAUCCUAGAGCUUUGUGGCAUUUGAAAGCAACAAUGGCACUAAGAAUAUUCUCUUGUUGACUUAAUGUACCAUGAAAACUGUCUCAACUUCAUUAAGGCCUAAGAAAAAAGGCAUCAUCUCUACACUCCUGUUCAAAACAAACUCACAACAAAUAAAAUGACAGUAAAAAGAGAAAAAAAGUAAUGAUUUACUGAGACAUACUACAUGGAUACAGCUUGAAAACAUCAUACUAAGUGAGAAAAUUCAGACACGAAGAACCACAUAUUGUGUGAUUUCUUUCAUAUAUGAAAUGUACAGAAGAAAUAAAUCCACCCCCAUAAAGGCAAAAGUACAUUCCUUGUCAGGGACUUCUCGGAAAGCAGGUAGGUGUCAGGGGAAUGGUCAGUUCAUAUGAAUGGGCAUAGAGUUUCUUUUACGGUGAUGAAAACUUUUUCAACUGGUUGUACUCAUGGUUGCACAAAUCUAAAAAUAUAUUAAAAACCACUUGAUUGUGCCCCUCAAAUGAGUGAAUUACAGUCUGUGAAUUACAGCUCAUUAAAUGUUUUUUUUUUAAAAAAAAAGUUAAAUGAGAUAAGCACUCUCACAGUUACAAUCAUACACAAAAUGAAAUCUAUCAUCACAGUUACACACACUCACAAUCCCCUCUCCUCACUUUAUUCUCAACUACAAGAUCUUUUGUCCUCUGUUACCUAGAGCUGGUGCUUUGCAAUUAAGGUACAUGAGAAUCACUGCAGAACUUUGUUAAGGAGCAGGUUAUGAUUCCUCAGGUCUGGGGUGGGGCCUGAGAUUCUGCAUUUCCAGCUCCCAGGGGUGGCAACAUUAAAAGGUUGUGUCCUUCUCAUGCCACAGAUGCCGGAUCACAUUUAUAGAUUCACAACAUCCUAAAGCACUAAACACUGCCAAGAGCUGCUGCCCCAAGUCUGGCCACAAGUCACACUCAUGAGUAUCAUAGGAAGUGCUUUUCCUCCCUGCCCCUCUCAUGCAUAGUGCUACAAAGACAAGAGCAGAAGCAACCCCACCACUCAACACUUAGACUUCUUUACAGACGGGUCACAGGAUUGCCUUCUAGGCCAGCUCUGCUGCUGAAGACCUUCCAUCAGACAUCCUCACCUAUAAGGGGACUUCCUCAUAUGUACAACUGGGCCCAGUACCACUGGCUCCUGACUUCCCAGAGUUGUUUCCAAAGUAAAAUAAGAAAAUGCUUGCAAGGACUUCCUGUUGUCACUCAGUGGGUUAAAGACCCAAUGUAGUCUCUGUGAGGAUGCAGGUUUGAUCCCUGGCCACGUUCAGUGGGUUAAGGAUCUCAUGUUGCCACAAGGUGAGGCGUAGGUCACAGAUGCAGCUCGGAUCUGGCAUUAUGGUGGCUGUGGUGUAGGCCAGUAGCUACAGCUCCUAUUCGACCCCUAGCCUGGAAACUUCCAUAUGCCACAGACAAGGGUGGAAAAAGAAAAAAAGAAAAUGCCUGCCAAAAAAGCUUAAAGAACCAUAAAGUAUUAGAUUAUUGUACAAUGGGAAAAAGAGUUAAGCAAGUUCUCAUUCUAGUUCUCCUGGUGGACCCAAAAGACUAGAGAAGUUGUUUAAAUUCUGGGGGUCAGCAAUUCCUAUUGCCUCCUACUGUGAGCACUGAAGAGAGAGGCCGAGCAAGGCAAUGCCCCCUCUCUUAUCUAUCUUCUAAGGGUUUAGCAAGAGCGAAGCCAAUUCCAAGAGAAGGAAGGCUUCACGGAUCAAAGUUAGCCAGACAUAUUCUGAGAGGCAGUAGAAGCUUCAACUCAUGUCUUUGGGAUCCACCAGCCCCUGCGAGAACGUCAGUGUGAGAUCAGGAACUUAAUACGGGAACUUCGCUUACCAGUCAUGCAAUCUCAGGUCUGACAGCCCAUACUCAAUGCAUGUGCAUCUAAAACACGCCACUGCAGUGCCAUGAGAAUUCGAGGUCUCCGAUUAUGCUGUAGGCAGAAGGAACUAAAGCCAAUAUAGUUCUAAAUGAGCUUUCCUUUCUAUUAAAUUGUAUUGCCCUGAGGAUAAGGGAAAAUUUAUUUCACUGUAGAAUAUAUUUCAGUUUUUAUUAUCAAUUUCAACCAAAGCAAAAAUGAAAAAAGAAAUCAAAAUGUAUGAAAGAAACUUCUAAAUGUCUAUUGUGAACCUAUUUUUACCCUAUAAAAAUUAAUCCUGGGAGUUGCUUCCAUAAUCACAAAAAUACUCAACAAAUAAAGAAUUGUGAUGUAUUUCUCUAAGACCAGCUUCAAAAUCAAGUUAGAAGACUCGUAAAAAGUGAGCCAUCCACUUAUUACGAGACAUUCUUAAAAGUCAGAUGGAGUUACCUAACCCCAUAUAUUUCCUUAUAGCAAAACAAUUGUUAAAUUUUAUGAAAUAAAAGACUGAUAAAGCAUAUCUUCCUCUUUGCAAGGUUAUAGUUAUAAUACAAUAACUAUACCAUAAAUACCAAAAACUAAUUAAAGAAGUUAUUCACAUCUUUCACAAAAUGAAAUUUGUCAUAAUGAGUAAGUAUAGUCCUAGAGAAAAGGGGGAAAAAAGUUAAGUGCCAGUUCAAAAAGAGAUCCUUCACUGAAAAGCAAUGAGAACCUUAUUUAACACCCUGGCAUUAUCAACAAUAUUCCUCAUCUAGACAGUAGUGUGUGAAUUGUAUUACCUUUAAUGGAAGGAGCCGACAUACUAAAGUGAAAGAUUGGUAAAUAUGAAUUAGUCAUUUUAAAAAUGUUCCUGAAACCUAAGAAAAGACCUCAUCUUAAGGGGGCAUUGACCUAUUUUUAUUAUUUUCCUAUGAGUCAGCAAACUAGCUUAUAAGUAAAGACAAUGUAAGCUUUUAUUUAAAACAAAAACAAAAACUUUUGGAAAAGUCACUAGAGUUCCUAGAAUAGUUUUGCUUAAAAAAACUGUAUGAAAUUUGUGCUUUCACCCCAACGGGGGGUGGGGGGAGAUCUAGACACCAUUCAGCCAUCACAAUGCUUACACCCUAUUUCUAAAAAUAUGUUUUCAUAGUUUACGGGUCUCCCCAAAAUUCUCAGCUUCCAGUGCAGAGUGCACUCACCCCAUUAAAGUCGCUGUAGUUAUUUCAAUGGUGUCUAACAGUGAAAUCAAUUCAACAGUCAAACAUCUGCUUUUCUGUGUCUCUCACCCUAAAUCAUAAAUUCCCUGAGAACAGCAACAGGCCUUUCACUCCCAUCUUAGUCCCUUAAUGCCUUAGCCAGGCCUGCCAGCCAGAACAGACUGCAAACAGAAUCAGAGCCCUCUGCUCACACACAGCACCAAUUAGAAAGCUCAUCUGUUAUCACUUCCAUAAAUCAAGUAAUCAGUGAAAAAGAUGAAAAGAAACUACCAUUUGCUGUAUGCCAGACUCCUGAGUGUAUUUUGGUAUUUAAACCUUUCCAUACCCCAAAUUACUGUUUGUUAAGUGCUGAAUUAUGUUGAUUACUAACACUUGAUGGACUAAAGUCCCCUGAGGGCAAGAUCAUGCCUUCAUUAGCUCUGCAUCCCUCACAGUCCCAACAGCAUCAUGCAGAAGUUGGCAGACUCAGAUCAGUUCACUAUAAUGGAUAAGGACGGUGAAAGAACAGGCCACCUUUAUGUGUCAAUGGAUCACCUUGAUCUCCAUCCACCAAAACAUAGCUAAUUUACUUUUUAAAAAAGUUAUUCUUGAAAUUAUUAUGAAUGACAAGCAAUGCAGCCAUCUGCAUGCACUUUGAAGUGUCUUACAUUCACUUGGACUAAACAGGAUUGCUUCAAUUGUAUUUCCACCGUUAUGUUACUGAAAAUAAUUCAUGUUUUGCCCCACCUAAUUUCAACCUCAAAUCCAGCUGACAACUCUUUCACUUUGAGGCUUGCAUAAUUUUAUUUUCUGUCUCAAAAUGUCUAUGUAAGAAGAGACAGUGAAGACUCACAAAAACAUAAGCAACUCUCAAACAUCAGGGCUCUGUUUCUAACAAUGCUUUCCCAGGGACUAUCAAAACAGCUGAAAAUAUCACUGUGCUUCAUCCAUCAACAAACUGUCACCUCACUGGAUGAAUUAUGAGUCAAAAUAAAAAUACUUGCUACUUCCAACCUGGGUGGAUGAAAACUGCGGGAGAAAGAACCGACAGUGUUCACCAAUAUUGCUUUUAACAGGUUUCUCUAAUAAGGUCUGACCAUAGAAAAGGCUGCUUCCAAAUCCAAAAAAAUAUUUCAUUUCUUAACAUCACAUUUCCUCAGUUGUUUACAUAAAAGUGCAAGUCAGCCCUCCAAACACAUGAAUGCUCUUUUAAUUUCAACAGAUAAGCUAGAGGGGGAAAAAAAAUCUUGAAUUUCCUCAGGGUAAAAAAAAAAGCAUUUCACAUCGUCAAUACAUCCAGCACUGAGCAGAGAUAUUUGGGAGUAAAAAAAAGUAUUCAAUAAAUAAUGAAAUGAGAUGAGCUCCAUUUAAUCCAAGAAUGUGAAUGAUCAGUUUCUGAUGGUACCACAUUUCACACAAUUAUUUUCAUGAACAAUAAAUGCUGGGGAUGAUGUGGAGAAAAGGGAACUCUCCUACACUGUAGGUGGAGACCUAAAUUGAUACAACCUAUGGAGAACAGUACAGAAGUUCUUUUAAGAACUAAAUAUAGGACCACCGUAUGAUCCAGAAAUCCCACUCCUGGGCAUAUAUCUGGAGAAAAGCAUAAUUCAAAAAGAUACAUGCACCUCUAUGUUCGCUGCAGCACUAUUUACAACCGCCAAGACAUGGAAGCAACCUAAAUGUCCAGAGGAAUAGAUAAAGAAGAUAUGGUACAUAUAUACAAUGGAAUACUACUCAGUCAUAAAAAAGAACAAAACAAUGCCAUUUGCAGCAACAUGGAUGGGCCUAGAGAUUAUCAUACUACGUGAAGUCAGACAAAGACAAAUACCAUAUGAUAUUACUUACAUGUGGAAUUUAAAAAAUGAUACAAAUGAGCUUAUUUACAAAACAGAAACAGACUCACAGACAUUGAAGGGGAAGAGGGGGAGGGAGGGACUGGGCUUUUGGGAAUGGAAAAGACACAUUUCUGCAUAUGGAAUGGAUGAUCUACAAUGACCUGCUAUAUAACACAGGGAAAUCUACUCAUUGUUCUGUGAUAACCUAUAUGGGAAUGGAUAUGGAUAUGUGUCUAUGUAUGGCUGAAUCCACUUUGCUGUACAGCAGAAAUUAACACAACAUUGUAAAUCAACUAUACCUCAAUAAAAUUAAAUUUUACAAUUACAGUUGCACAUCCCAUAAUAUGAUGUGGACAUAUAUAGGCUAUGAAUAGUAAAUCUGUAAAAAAUACUUUGGAAAAAGUCUUCUAUGAUUUCUCCCAUUUAAUAGUUCUGCUAAAUGUGUUGUCAUUUUAAAAACCCAUAGUAAAGCCAUACUCUCCCUGGCACAAACCCUCUUCCUCUAGAUCUAUAAGAGGAAAAAGAAAGGGCAUCCCUUGGUAAAUGUGCUCCUCUGAAGCUCUGUGUGUUUGUGGGGGGCUUCCAUCUUUCACAUGAACUCAUGGGAAAUCACAGCGAGGCCCCCCUUUCAGUGGCUGAUGCUCUAUCUCUAAAUUGCUUUUCCAGGGCCAGAGAAGAAGCUGAAGCUAAUCGAGAUACAUCUUGAAUUCCAUAGUUUUACCCAUCCAUUGUGGUAGCUUUCGCAUUGCGGGGCAGAGAACACAACACUAAAUUCCUCUUUUACUCACCUAAAGGAGAAAAAGAAAAAUGUCAAGCAAAAAAUGUUAGGCAGUUCAGACUUAGGGAAAAUACCAGCUUUUCACUU
RNAcentral lists this long non-coding RNA (6032 nucleotides) under Sus scrofa (pig). Its description in RNAcentral is "lncRNA (ENSSSCG00050018601.1)". Lineage: Eukaryota; Metazoa; Chordata; Mammalia; Artiodactyla; Suidae. The record is from RNAcentral.